Molecule: ribosomal RNA, 253 nt
Filed under: uncultured bacterium
Lineage: Bacteria
Description: partial 16S ribosomal RNA
Rfam family: Bacterial small subunit ribosomal RNA
Source: RNAcentral
UACGUAGGGUGCGAGCGUUGCCCGGAAUUAUUGGGCGUAAAGAGCUUGUAGGCGGUUUGUCGCGUCUGCCGUGAAAAUCCGGGGCUCAACCCCGGACUUGCGGUGGGUACGGGCAGACUAGAGUGUGGUAGGGGAGACUGGAAUUCCUGGUGUAGCGGUGAAAUGCGCAGAUAUCAGGAGGAACACCCAUGGCGAAGGCAGCAAACUGGGCAUCAACUGACGCUGAGGCGCGAAAGCGUGGGUAGCAAACAGG